This 1491-nucleotide long non-coding RNA is filed under the name Helianthus annuus (common sunflower). Its description in RNAcentral is "sRNA HanXRQr2_Chr10g0418951". The record is from RNAcentral. Lineage: Eukaryota; Viridiplantae; Streptophyta; Magnoliopsida; Asterales; Asteraceae.
CUAACUUUAAAAUCAACCUCCACCGUCGGAUUCGGCUGAGAUUAAAUCUCAGCCAUUUAAACUCAAAAAAAUAACCGCCGUAGUGGCGGUUCUUAGCAGUUCUGGGCGGUUCCCAUCGUCCCCUUUUAUCUCCCCCACUUCGCCAAUGGUUUCAUACUUUCAUCACGUCUUCCCAUCUUGCCAACUGCACCUCCCCAUUACCCCACGUACAAAGGUUUCAUAUUAAUGAUGGAGAUAGGGUUAAUUAAUUCUCCAAACAGAAGUCUCCAUUCCCCUCCAAUAUGACUACACAUAUUAUGAUCAACAAUGAGGUCUUACUCUUUUAGCUUAAAGAGAUCGAUGCGACAGACGGACGAAAGGAGAGUGUGUCGUCUCGGUUGCGGAUGGCGUCGUGUGUAGCACGAGUGACAUGGACGAUCGCGGUGGAGCUUUGUUUCUCGAUUAAAUAGGCUGGAUUCAAUGAAUAGGAAUAAGAAGGGUCAAAAGUCAACAUUUGGGAUGUGUAUGGUUUCAGAUGCUCCUUCAGCAUAUAACCACUUCGAGGCCUCAAAUUGAAAGCUAGAAGGAAAUGAAGUCCAGAAGCGAUUGGGGAAGAAAUCUUCAAUUCAAUCUUCAAUUAACGCACGUUGAGUCAUUCAUCAUCAUCAGGUGGAAAAUUUGAAAUCUCUACUUGAGAUAGAGAUAAGACUCGAGAAUUAAAAACCGAACAGUGAACAUGAAGAUUUUUGAAACUUUAUCUGGACAAAACACAAGAAAAAUCCGCAAAAUUCUGAUGCAGGAAUCAAAGAAAGAGAGGUGCUCAUUGGUGGAGACUUUGUGAUCUAAAUUGACUCUAGGCAGAAGAAACUGGUUGAUUCUGUUAAUAAGGUCAGUCAGCUUGAAUCCCAACAUUCUCAAGGUUUCUUCCAUUACUAAAAAAGUAUAGAUACUUCUACAUAUUGCUCGGAAGAUAUAAGUUGUUUUAUAAUUAAUGUAGUAUAUUUUCUUUCCUACGUAUAAAGUGGUUUAUAAGGCUGUAGGGUGUGGCAUCGACAAGGGGUCGGCGAGUCUCAUGUGGCAUCGGCGCCGAAGAGGAACACCGCCCCCAUAUCCGGUGGGUUGGGUUCGGUGAAGGGAGAGGAAGGUGGAAUUGAGAGGAAGGUGGUGUGAGGUGGUUGGGAAGUUUGGAUUGUUCACACCCUGAUGUUGUUGCUUAUGUACAAGAAGCAGGUUUAAACCAGCAAAUUUUGGUGUGGGGUCAAUUGUCGAGCAGAAAGAUCCAAUAAAAGGGUUUGCAGAACUAUUUGGAAAAGAUACACACAAAUGUGCAUAACUCGGUUGUUAAAACGGGCAACAGGCAGGUUCACUGGAGAUAGACAAUUAUGCCCUCUUGGUAAAUGAGAUCAAAGGAGGAUUAAGCAGGUUCUUGAUCAUUGGUCAUAUAUCAAAAUGUGCGAUUUGACAUUAUUAGUUAACAUAUGGUUCAAAACUCAAGUUUUAUACAAUGUAUGA